AUUGAACGCUGGCGGCAUGCCUUACACAUGCAAGUCGAACGGCAGCACGGGAGCAAUCCUGGUGGCGAGUGGCGAACGGGUGAGUAAAGUAUCGGAACGUGCCCAGUCGUGGGGGAUAACGUAGCGAAAGUUACGCUAAUACCGCAUACGAUCUAUGGAUGAAGGCGGGGGAUCGCAAGGCCUCGCGCGAUUGGAGCGGCCGAUAUCAGAUUAGGUAGUUGGUGGGGUAAAGGCUCACCAAGCCGACGAUCUGUAGCUGGUCUGAGAGGACGACCAGCCACACUGGGACUGAGACACGGCCCAGACUCCUACGGGAGGCAGCAGUGGGGAAUUUUGGACAAUGGGCGAAAGCCUGAUCCAGCCAUGCCGCGUGCAGGAUGAAGGCCUUCGGGUUGUAAACUGCUUUUGUACGGAACGAAAAGGUUUGGCCUAAUAAGCUGAGCUCAUGACGGUACCGUAAGAAUAAGCACCGGCUAACUACGUGCCAGCCGCCGCAGUAA
This 500-nucleotide ribosomal RNA is filed under the name uncultured bacterium. RNAcentral describes it as "partial 16S ribosomal RNA". It matches the Rfam family "Bacterial small subunit ribosomal RNA", at positions 30 to 523 of the family's 1533-position model. The record is from RNAcentral.